RNAcentral lists this ribosomal RNA (497 nucleotides) under uncultured bacterium. RNAcentral's name for it is "partial 16S ribosomal RNA". It matches the Rfam family "Bacterial small subunit ribosomal RNA", at positions 28 to 507 of the family's 1533-position model. The record is from RNAcentral.
GACGAACGCUGGCGGCGUGCCUAAUACAUGCCAGUUGAGCGCUGAAGGUUGGUACUUGUACCGACUGGAUGAGCAGCGAACGGGUGAGUAACGCGUGGGGAAUCUGCCUUUGAGCGGGGGACAACAUUUGGAAACGAAUGCUAAUACCGCAUAAAAACUUUAAACACAAGUUUUAAGUUUGAAAGAUGCAAUUGCAUCACUCAAAGAUGAUCCCGCGUUGUAUUAGCUAGUUGGUGAGGUAAAGGCUCACCAAGGCGAUGAUACAUAGCCGACCUGAGAGGGUGAUCGGCCACACUGGGACUGAGACACGGCCCAAACUCCUACGGGAGGCAGCAGUAGGGAAUCUUCGGCAAUGGACGAAAGUCUGACCGAGCAACGCCGCGUGAGUGAAGAAGGUUUUCGGAUCGUAAAACUCUGUUGGUAGAGAAGAACGUUGGUGAGAGUGGAAAGCUCAUCAAGUGACGGUAACUACCCAGAAAGGGACGGCUAACUACGUG